CUCAGGGAAGCGACUAUGCUGGACCUCUCUCCUGACAGGAACAGGACAUCUGAAACUGAACUAGAUGUGCAGGUUUAGACAGCUGGCUCCCACCUCUGUGGGGACUUGAAGGACGUGGAGGUCAGGGAAAUCUCUGGGGACCACCCAGCUCCCAGAGCCACACUGCAGGUUUGCUGCAGACUCAAGCAGACUCUCCAUCUCUUUGCUCCAAGUUUUCAGCUUGCCUUCCACCCUUUCCACCAUCUGCAAGAAACAGAAAUGUUUUCUUCCCUCCUUCUUGGACACCCGCCCUCUGGACUCACUUUGAGCUGUCAGGAACAGCUAACCAGCCUCACGUUUACAUGCUGAGAGCCAGAUUACUCCCAAAUUUACCGCUCUCUAUCAAGAGGGAUGAAUGAAAAAUAAGAAGGCAGAAGCUCAGGCCUGGACCUCCGUUGCCCACCCAGUAGGUGUCUAAAUGUUAAACCAAAAUGAAAAGCCACAGCAGCAUGGAAGUUGUAGUAUGACUAUCAAAGCAUAAUACUUCAGCAGAGAUAUGCUGAUUGUGUAGAUAUGAAUCAUUACGAUGCUUUCUGCUGCAGAGACGAGAAGAAAAGCAGAAGAAUCGCAACUUCA
This is a long non-coding RNA of Oxyura jamaicensis (ruddy duck), 615 nucleotides long. RefSeq lists it as uncharacterized. NCBI's taxonomy places the organism in Eukaryota, Metazoa, Chordata, Aves, Anseriformes, Anatidae. The record is from RefSeq and is a predicted model, not a curated record. The transcript has 3 exons.